Molecule: ribosomal RNA, 3815 nt
Filed under: Actinomycetota bacterium
Lineage: Bacteria; Bacillati; Actinomycetota
Description: 23S ribosomal RNA
Rfam family: Bacterial large subunit ribosomal RNA
Source: RNAcentral
UGCCAAGUUAAUAAGGGCGUACGGUGGAUGCCUAGGCGCUAGGAGCCGACGAAGGACGCGGUAGGCUGCGAAAAUCCCCGGGAAGGAGCCAAACAUCCAUUGAUCCGGGGGUGUCCGAAUGGGGAAACCCACCAGUGGUCAUGCACUGGUACCCAGGUCUGAACACAUAGGGCCUGUGGAGGGAACCGGGUGAAUUGAAACAUCUAAGUAACCCGAGGAAGAGAAAUCAAAUUCGAGAGUCCCUUAGUAGCGGCGAGCGAAACGGGAUCAGCCCAAACCUCUGUGGUGUUAAAGCCUGGUGGCGUUGCCACAGGGGUGUUGUGGGACCCAUCUGAACCGGCACCAGACGGUUCAGGGAGUUACAAAGUCAGCGGUUAGCCGAAGUUUCUGGAAAGUAAAGCCACAGAAGGUAAUAGCCCUGUAGGCGAAAACCGACUGACCUCCCGAUGGUGUUCCCAAGUAACACGGAGCCCGAGAAAUUCCGUGUGAAUCUGCGGGGCCCACCCCGUAAGGCUAACUACUUCCUAGCGACCGAUAGUGAACCAGUACCGUGAGGGAAAGGUGAAAAGUACCCCGGGAGGGGAGUGAAAUAGUACCUGAAACCGUGCGCUUACAAGCAGUCAGAGCGUCGUCAUGACUUCGGUCAUGGCCGUGAUGGCGUGCCUUUUGAAGAAUGAGCCGGCGAGUUACCGAUGUGUGGCGAGGUUAAGGAGAGAUCCGUAGCCGUAGCGAAAGCGAGUCUUAAUAGGGCGCCCUUAGUCGCAUGUCGUAGACCCGAAGCCGGGUGAUCUAUCCAUGGGCAGGCUGAAGCGAAGGUAAGACUUCGUGGAGGGCCGAACCCACCAGGGUUGAAAACCUGGGGGAUGACCUGUGGAUAGGGGUGAAAGGCCAAUCAAACCCGGUGAUAGCUGGUUCUCCCCGAAAUGCAUUUAGGUGCAGCGUCACGUGUUCAGUAUCGGUGGUAGAGCACUGGAUGGACUAGGGGCCCAACAAGGUUACCGAAUUCAGCCAAACUCCGAAUGCCGAUACUCCAGAACGUGGCAGUGAGACUGCGGGGGAUAAGCUCCGUAGUCGAGAGGGAAACAGCCCAGAUCGCCAGCUAAGGUCCCUAAAUCUUCGCUAAGUGGGAAAGGAUGUGGAGUUGCAUAGACAGCCAGGAGGUUGGCUUAGAAGCAGCCACCCUUUAAAGAGUGCGUAACAGCUCACUGGUCGAGUGAUUCGGCGCCGACAAUGUAGCGGGGCUAAGCGAAGUACCGAAGCUGCGGGAUUGUUCACUUUCGAGUGAAUGAUCGGUAGGGGAGCGUUGUAACAACUGCGAAGGUGUUCUGUAAGGAAUGCUGGAGUGGUUACAAGUGCGAAUGCCGGCAUGAGUAGCGAAAUGGAAGCGAGAAACUUCCACUCCGUAUGUCCAAGGGUUCCUGGGGAAGGCUAAUCCGCCCAGGGUAAGUCGGGACCUAAGCCGAGGCCGAGAGGCGUAGGCGAUGGACAACUGGUUGAUAUUCCAGUACCACCACACGCGCGCCCACUCCGAAUCAUCUUGCUAAGGGAACCCUUCGGGGCUACCGACCCAGGUGUUCUAGGAGAACGAAGGGGUGACGGAGGAGGGUAGUCAGACCCACGCGUUGGUCGACGUGGGGUAAGCAGGUAGGAGGAUCCCUUAGGCAAAUCCGGGGGAUCAUUAACUCUGAGACGCGAUGCCGACCCGAUUGAGGGGAAGCUGAUGAGCCCAUGCUCCCGAGAAAAGCCUCUAGUGAGUUCGUGUGGUGCCCGUACCCCAAACCGACUCAGGUGGACAGGUAGAGCAUACCGAGGAGAUCGAGAGAACUCUGGUUAAGGAACUCGGCAAAUUGGACGCGUAACUUCGGGAUAAGCGUCGCUUCUGGUGGUGUAGGGACUUGCUCCCGAAGCUGCUGGGAGUUGCAAAAACCAGGCCCAAGCGACUGUUUACUAAAAACACAGGAGCGUGCUAAGACGUAAGUCGCCGUAUACGCUCUGACGCCUGCCCGGUGCCGGAAGGUUAAGGGGAAGGGUUAACUGGGCUUCGGCCCAGUGAAGCUCUGAACCUAAGCCCCGGUAAACGGCGGCGGUAACUAUAACCGUCCUAAGGUAGCGAAAUUCCUUGUCGGGUAAGUUCCGACCUGCACGAAUGGCGUAACGACUUGGGCACUGUCUCAACCAGAGACUCGGCGAAAUUGCAAUACGAGUAAAGAUGCUCGUUACCCGCGGAAGGACGGAAAGACCCUAGGACCUUUACUACAGCUUGAUAUUGGAGUUCGGGGCAGUUUGCGUAGGAUAGGCGGGAGGCUUUGAAGCGGGGACUCCGGUCCUCGUGGAGCCAUCCUUGAAAUACCGCCCUGAUUGUCUUGAGCUUCUAACCCGGGUCCGUUAUCCGGAUCGGGGACAGUGUCAGGUGGGUAGUUUCACUGGGGCGGUGACCUCCCAAAAUGUAACGGAGGUGUUCAAAGGUUCCCUCAUCCUGGUCGGCCAUCAGGAGUUGAGUGCAAUCGCACAAGGGAGCUUGACUGCGAGAGAGACAUCUCGAGCAGGUACGAAAGUAGGAGAUAGUGAUCCGGCGGCUCCUCGUGGUAGGGCCGUCGCUCAUCGGCUAAAAGGUACCCUAGGGAUAACAGGCUGAUCGUUCCCAAGAGUCCAUAUCGACGGAACGGUUUGGCACCUCGAUGUCGGCUCGUCGCAUCCUGGGGCUGGAGCAGGUCCCAAGGGUUGGGCUGUUCGCCCAUUAAAGCGGCACGCGAGCUGGGUUUAGAACGUCAACUUCCAGGCGUCCCCACCGAGUAAUCGGUGGGUGCACAUCGGCUUAUAUCGGUGAAACCCUAACUGUCACACCUUCUCAAUAGGUUGUGAUGAUGAGGGCAAUGCCGAGGGAAGGCCAUUCAACAAAGACAGCGACAUCGGAUCUUUCCUACCUUGCGGGAUUCUUGGACGGAGAUGGAAGCAUCCAUUUCCAACUCGUCCGACAGAAGGAGUAUCGCUUCGGGUUCUACAUCCGAGCGACCAUGUCUCUUUCUCAGUCAACCCCCGAUCGUUACGGGCUGGAGCAUCUUCAGCGUUUGAUCGGAGGGGGGUACAUAAGAGAUCGAGGCACCGGCAUGAGUGAUCUAGUGCUCACAAGCCGCCCUUUGUUGGAAGAGGUCCUGACCGGAAUCAAGCCUUACGUCAUCUUCAAGAGGCGUCAGGUCGAAAGAGGGCUGGAGUUACUCAGCCGGCUCCGGAGAGGAAUGAGUCCAGAAGAAUUCCUAGAGGUGGCGAAAGCAGUCGACGACUUUGCAUCCCUAAACCAUUCGAAAACGAAGCGGAUCUCCGCCGUGGAUGUUGAACAGCAUCUACGUGGCACGGGAAGACUGGCCCCCGUAUCGACUUCUCUUCCAGUUCAGGAGAGAGAUGGGUUCUGCAACGGCGCAAGCCGGAAUCUAUGGAACCCAUAACACGCCGGCCCCUCGAAAGAGGGUGAAGACAUAGUCAGUGCCUGCAGAGAUGCAGGACUCACAUGCGUGAGACAGUUCGGUCCCUAUCCUCCGCGGGCGUAAGAGAUUUGAGAGGAGCUGUCCCUAGUACGAGAGGACCGGGACGGACGCACCUCUAGUGUGACAGUUGUUCUGCCAAGGGCAUGCUGUUUAGCUACGUGCGGAUCGGAUAAGCGCUGAAAGCAUCUAAGUGCGAAGCCGACCUCAAGAUGAGAUCUCUCACCGGGUUAACCGGGUAAGGCCCCUUGCUAGACGACAAGGUUGAUAGGCCGGAGCUGUAAGCACAGCAAUGUGUUCAGGCGACCGGUACUAAUAGGCCGAGGACUUGGUUUU